This 253-nucleotide ribosomal RNA is filed under the name uncultured bacterium. RNAcentral's name for it is "partial 16S ribosomal RNA". It matches the Rfam family "Bacterial small subunit ribosomal RNA", at positions 524 to 776 of the family's 1533-position model. The record is from RNAcentral.
UACGUAGGUGGCAAGCGUUGUCCGGAAUUAUUGGGCGUAAAGCGCUUGCAGGUGGUUCGUCGCGUCGUGCGUGAAAGACCCCGGCUCAACUGGGGAGGGUCGUGCGAUACGGGCGGACUGGAGGCCAGUAGGGGGAUGCGGAAUUCCGGGUGUAGUGGUGGAAUGCGUAGAGAUCCGGAGGAACACCAGCGGCGAAGGCGGCAUCCUGGACUGGUCCUGACACUCAGGAGCGAAAGCGUGGGGAGCGAUCCGG